RNAcentral lists this transfer RNA (72 nucleotides) under Marmota marmota marmota (Alpine marmot). It matches the Rfam family "tRNA". From Rfam's summary of the family: Transfer RNA (tRNA) molecules are approximately 80 nucleotides in length. Their secondary structure includes four short double-helical elements and three loops (D, anti-codon, and T loops). Further hydrogen bonds mediate the characteristic L-shaped molecular structure. tRNAs have two regions of fundamental functional importance: the anti-codon, which is responsible for specific mRNA codon recognition, and the 3' end, to which the tRNAs corresponding amino acid is attached (by aminoacyl-tRNA synthetases). tRNAs cope with the degeneracy of the genetic code in two manners: having more than one tRNA (with a specific anti-codon) for a particular amino acid; and 'wobble' base-pairing, i.e. permitting non-standard base-pairing at the 3rd anti-codon position. Lineage: Eukaryota; Metazoa; Chordata; Mammalia; Rodentia; Sciuridae. The record is from Rfam by way of RNAcentral. RNAcentral also lists the same sequence under 1 other name.
UGGGUUGUAGCUCAGUGGUAGAGUGCUUGCCUCUUAUGCAUGAGGCACUGGGCUCAAUCCUCAGCACCACAU